This is a long non-coding RNA of Hemiscyllium ocellatum (epaulette shark), 494 nucleotides long. RefSeq lists it as uncharacterized. The transcript has 3 exons. NCBI's taxonomy places the organism in Eukaryota, Metazoa, Chordata, Chondrichthyes, Orectolobiformes, Hemiscylliidae. The record is from RefSeq and is a predicted model, not a curated record.
GGGCAGUGCCCUCGCCCAGACCAUCUUGCCCGUGUGUGUAACUGCACUUUUGGGAAGGUGUGUGAGUCGGACCAGGAUUGUGCAGGAUCACAAAGAUGCUGUGAUGCUGGGUGUCAGAAACGUUGUGUCCUGUCGUUCUACAGAAAGUCUCAUGGAGACUCGUGGAAAUCUGAGGAAUGUCCGAAUCCGUCCUGCCUGGAUCGUGUCUGCAGGAUGAAUCACAGCGUCUCGUGUGGAGAUGAUGGGGAUUGUGGCAAGUGGAGGUCAUGUUGUGAGACACCUUGUGGUAGACGCUGUGUCCACCCCUUCAUGGGGCAGAGCAGGAGUUUGUCAGUCUCAGAUCGGACAUCUGGAAUGUGUCCUUCUCCUGCUCGCCUCUCUGCCGUGUGUAACCUGAAGUACGGUGAGCUGUGUGAGGAAGAUAAUGACUGCUACGCAUGGCAGAUGUGCUGCAACACCAGCUGUGGGCGUCGCUGUGUCCAUUCCUACCGCAG